RNAcentral lists this ribosomal RNA (494 nucleotides) under uncultured bacterium. RNAcentral's name for it is "partial 16S ribosomal RNA". It matches the Rfam family "Bacterial small subunit ribosomal RNA", at positions 29 to 507 of the family's 1533-position model. The record is from RNAcentral.
ACGAACGCUGGCGGCGUGCCUCAUACAUGCAAGUAGAACGCUGAAGGCGGAGCUUGCUUCUCUGGAUGAGUUGCGAACGGGUGAGUAACGCGUAGGUAACCUGCCUGGUAGCGGGGGAUAACUAUUGGAAACGAUAGCUAAUACCGCAUAAUAGUAGAUGUUGCAUGACAUUUGCUUAAAAGGUGCAAUUGCAUCACUACCAGAUGGACCUGCGUUGUAUUAGCUAGUUGGUGGGGUAACGGCUCACCAAGGCGACGAUACAUAGCCGACCUGAGAGGGUGAUCGGCCACACUGGGACUGAGACACGGCCCAGACUCCUACGGGAGGCAGCAGUAGGGAAUCUUCGGCAAUGGACGGAAGUCUGACCGAGCAACGCCGCGUGAGUGAAGAAGGUUUUCGGAUCGUAAAGCUCUGUUGUAAGAGAAGAACGAGUGUGAGAGUGGAAAGUUCACACUGUGACGGUAUCUUACCAGAAAGGGACGGCUAACUACGUG